This 432-nucleotide ribosomal RNA is filed under the name uncultured bacterium. RNAcentral's name for it is "SSU rRNA". It matches the Rfam family "Bacterial small subunit ribosomal RNA", at positions 26 to 518 of the family's 1533-position model. The record is from RNAcentral.
AGAAUGAACGCUAGCGAUAUGCUUAACACAUGCAAGUUGAACGUUGUUUUCGAAUCAGAAUGAGAACAAAGUAGCGAACGGGUGCGUAACACGUGGGAAUCUGCCGAACAGUUUGGGCCAAAUCCCGAAUGAAUAAAAGCUAAAAAGCGCUGUUUGAUGAGCCCACGUAGUAUUAGGUAGUUGGUUAGGUAAAAGCUGACCAAGCCUACGAUGCUUAGCUGGUCUUUUCGGAUGAUCAGCCACACUGGGACUGAGACACGGCCCAGACUCCUACGGGAGGCAGCAGUGGGGAAUCUUGGACAAUGGGCGAAAGCCUGAUCCGGCAAUGCCGCGUGGAUGAAGAAGGUUUUCGGAUUGUAAAGUCCUUUCGGCGGGGACGAUGAUGACGGUACCCGCAGAAGAAGCCCCGGCUAACUUCGCGCCAGCAGCCGC